Molecule: long non-coding RNA, 229 nt
Organism: Tachyglossus aculeatus (Australian echidna)
Lineage: Eukaryota; Metazoa; Chordata; Mammalia; Monotremata; Tachyglossidae
Exons: 3
Source: RefSeq, a predicted model, not a curated record
CGGCGCCUGGCUGUGCGAGUCCAGUUCUCAGAGCCCGGCGGCUUGCCCAGCCCGGGUCCCGGCCUGCCGGGAGCGUGUGGCAGGAGGGGACUAUCACGAAGCUGGCUCGUUCCUCUGCCCGAGGGGAGGCUGACUCACUCUUCACACCAUGGAGUGGACUGGAGGAGGUCAGGCUGCCGUGGAAGAGAGAUGAGGGAACUGAGGCCCAGAGAAGCGAAGUGACUCACCC